RNAcentral lists this ribosomal RNA (245 nucleotides) under uncultured Clostridia bacterium. RNAcentral describes it as "partial 16S ribosomal RNA". It matches the Rfam family "Bacterial small subunit ribosomal RNA", at positions 524 to 768 of the family's 1533-position model. Lineage: Bacteria; Bacillati; Bacillota; Clostridia. The record is from RNAcentral.
GACGUAGGGGGCGAGCGUUGUCCGGAGUUACUGGGCGUAAAGGGCGUGUAGGCGGUUUGUUAAGUCAGGUGUGAAAUGCCAAAGCUCAACUUUGGCACUGCGCCUGAAACUGGCAGGCUAGAGGACAGGAGAGGGAAGUGGAAUUCCCGGUGUAGCAGUGAAAUGCGUAGAUAUCGGGAGGAACACCAGUGGCGAAGGCGGCUUCCUGGACUGUACCUGACGCUGAGGCGCGAAAGCUAGGGGAG